Molecule: long non-coding RNA, 247 nt
Organism: Solea solea (common sole)
Lineage: Eukaryota; Metazoa; Chordata; Actinopteri; Pleuronectiformes; Soleidae
Exons: 3
Source: RefSeq, a predicted model, not a curated record
GGCAGUUGCUAGGAGACCGUAAACCUCAGCUCUAACCAAGGACCACUGCAGACCGUUCUAUGAAGCUAUACCAUUGCAAAUUGAAACACAAACAAAAAACUUCGCAGCUGAAUACGGACCAGGACUUCAGAUUGUGAAACCCACUCCCAACGGCUAUAGAUUGUGAGGAUUCAUGCCAUGGCCUCUGCACCACCAAGGUCCCCACUGCCCUGUCCCCUUGGACAAAGCAGGGAUAAUGAGUUCCCAG